This 1571-nucleotide long non-coding RNA is filed under the name Mytilus galloprovincialis (Mediterranean mussel). Lineage: Eukaryota; Metazoa; Mollusca; Bivalvia; Mytilida; Mytilidae. The record is from RNAcentral.
UGAAUAGUAAAGAACACGUGUACAACUUCUAAGUGUGUCAAAAUUUAGGACAGUCUGAAUUUGAUGUUGUAAAGAACAUUUGUACAACUUCUAUAGUGUCAAAAGACGCAUUUUAGGACAGUCUGAUGUUGAUGAAUAUAACAAACGUGUGUGUUGUGUAACUUCAAAGUGUACCAUAAGACUCAUUUUAGGACAGUCUGAUGUUUAAGAACAUGUGUGCAACUUCUACGUACUUCAAAUUUUAAGAUAGCCCUAUUUUGAAGAUCUUUUGUUUAACUUUUAAGUGUGUCAAUUUUUAGGAUAGUCUGAUUUUUAUGAAUGUAAAGAACAUGUGUACAAUUUCUAAGUGUGUCAAAUUGUAGGACAGUUUGAUAUUGAUGAAUGUUGGGAACAUGUGUACAACUUUGAAGUGUCAAAUUGAAGGACAGUCUGUUUGGAUGAAUGUAAUAGUACAUGUGUAAAAUUUCUAAGUGUCAAAGUUUAAGACAGUCUGAUUUUGAUGAAUGUAAAGAACAUGUGUACAACUUCUAAAUGUGUCAAAUUUUAGUAUAGUCAGAUUUUGUUGGGUGUAAGGACUGAAUAUAUGUAAAAAUAAGAGUAACAAAUUGUAGGAAAGUCUGAUUUUGAUGUACCUUUGUACAACUUCUAAGUACUUAUAAGUGUGUAAAGUUUUUAGACAGUUUUAUAUGUCCACAGAUUUUUAUAUUCACAAAAAUAUAUGUUUUAGCAGGUGUGCAACUACUCUAAGUGUAUCAAGUUUCAUAAGAGUAUACUUCUAUGUACACAUACAUACAGCAGGUCUUCAACUUUUAAUGUACAUCUUCCAACAGUGAUAUAGCAAUUGUUGGCAUCAAUUAUUGUAAAAUUAAUCAAAUGUUUAAAACCUAUCCCUCAAUCAUGUAUGAUUGUUUUUUCAAGAAGAAAAUUUUAGUUCCCUUUGAAUGAAUUCCAUAUCUUUUGUAUUUAUUCAAUGUGAAAAUCCAAUUUGCCAAAAUUUAAAUGUUCAGGUAGUUAACAACUAAUUUUGGAUAAGGGUUUUACUUCCUUCCUAGUAAAGGUACUAGGCAGUCUGGCUUAUAAUAAUAAUAAGUCCAUAUAGGCAUGUGUACUAGUAUUAUAAAUAGAUAAAAAGAACAAAGCACAUUGGCGGAUCCAAGGGGGGGAGGGGGGUUCCAGGGGUUGUAACCCCCCCUUUUUUGGACGAUCAAUGCAUUUGAAUGGGAGCAUAUAGUUGGAACAACCCCCCUCCCCCUUUACUCUAGGUUGGGAAUCCCCCCCUUUUUAAAAUGGCUGGAUCCGCCAUUGAAGUAUAUUGUAAAUGUUAGACUUUCUUUAUGAGGAAUACAGAGUAUCUCAUACAGAAAACAAUGAACUUUUCUUAAAAUAUGUUUUUAAAUGAUUUUUUUUUUAGUGAGAUUGGGUCUAUAUUUUGGGCUUACUGAAGCUUGUAUUCUAACAGUAUUAGUUAAAGAUAAGAAAAAUGUAAAAUUGUGUAAAUGUGAACCUUUGUUUAUGAAUAAAUGGCAUUAAAACUAUAGUGUCUUAAUCAUUGUUGUGUAUAUAUAUAUGUA